RNAcentral lists this ribosomal RNA (253 nucleotides) under uncultured bacterium. RNAcentral's name for it is "partial 16S ribosomal RNA". It matches the Rfam family "Bacterial small subunit ribosomal RNA", at positions 524 to 776 of the family's 1533-position model. The record is from RNAcentral.
UACGUAGGUGGCAAGCGUUGUCCGGAUUUACUGGGCGUAAAGAGCGCGCAGGCGGUCGAUUAAGUCGAAUGUGAAAGCCCCCGGCUUAACUGGGGAGGGUCAUUCGAUACUGAUCGACUUGAAGGCAGGAGAGGGAAGCAGAAUUCCCGGUGUAGUGGUGAAAUGCGUAGAUAUCGGGAGGAAUACCAGUGGCGAAGGCGGCUUCCUGGCCUGUUCUUGACGCUGAGGCGCGAAAGCUAGGGUAGCAAACGGG